Molecule: long non-coding RNA, 487 nt
Filed under: Mytilus galloprovincialis (Mediterranean mussel)
Lineage: Eukaryota; Metazoa; Mollusca; Bivalvia; Mytilida; Mytilidae
Source: RNAcentral
UAAGCUUUUGUAUACAGUAAUUUCUGAAUUUAAGAUUACUACUAUAUGGAUGUUGCUUUUCUUUGUAACCCAGGGAAUGGUACUUAAGUAGAUAGUUCAUGUGUAAGCUGUAACAAAACUUUUAAUCAUACAAGUGAUGAAACAGUUAAGAGACGCCUGUUUCAUUUAAUGAAUGUACAACACCUUAAAGGCUGGAUAGGAUAGGUAUUUUGAAAUAUCAAUUGAAGAAAUACAUGUAUCUUAAUGAGACUGAGACAGCAACCCAAUCCGACAACAAAAUUAUUCAAGAGACAUCUUAGGUAGUGAAGGUCUAAAUGAAAGACGUCACUUGUCUAUAAAAAAAUAUGCCAACCAUUAAGUCACUCCAAAUCUGUAAUAGUCGUGUAUCCCAAACUCUAUCUCACCAACAAAAUGUCAGAUAAAAAAUCAUUCAGACAGACAGAAAUUUUAAAAUAUUUUGGUUGAAUACAUAGUAGAAAAGUCCAAA